GGGGGCGAGAGGGCGGUGAGGGGGACGGGUAUCUCUUAAAGCGGAAAUGUUAACACCCUCCUAACGGCGACUUGGAGGAUGGUGGGGCCCAGCACUGUUUCCCCGUAAAGGGUUCCCAGCCGCCUGCGUCCGAAGACGCCGGAGGGGUCGUGCGGCGGCCGCCCGCGGGGGUCAGUCUGGUGUGUGGGUGAGAAGUGGGGCUGGGGUCGCCGUGGUCGGGACUCGCGAGCCGGACCCCCGCGCAGCCCGCGGGGGGGAGCGCGCGUCUCCCUUCCGGAGGGAGCCGGAUAAACGAGUCACGUUUUACUACCACAUCAGCGGAUCCGUUCCAAAAGAAUCCUUGGCAUUUGGCCGCAGCGCGGGGCCCUAACGGCUGCGGAGCGCGCCCCGCGGAAGGCAGUGGCGCCGUUAUUGCCACUCCCGAGCGCGGCGACCUGGGACAGCGGAGAAGCGUGGGGGGCCCCGGAGACGGACGGUUGAGCGGAGCCGCAGGGCCCAACUGCAGUUGCCGGGUCCGGGUGGUGGACACGCUGAGCUGUCCCAGUGGCCGGCAGGUGGGAGGACCAGCCCGCGAGCUGGGAUCGGGUCCAGGAAGCAGUACCUUGAAGAGGAGUUGGAGGGAGAGUCAAUUCUUAGUAUAGCAGAGAGAUGGAGCGCAACGAACAGGUUGUGAGUAUUAAGAAUUUAUGUCAGAUUGGUAUCAAACUGUUUUGUCAUGGUUGUGUUAAUAAUCAUGAUACCUGUCAUCUUCUUAAACUUUUGUUAUCUUGAUCAUGUAUGACAUACAUAAGUGGUGGUGGGAGAGACUAUUGCAGCCAGUGGACUUGGUACAUUCUCACGUUGUCUUUUCACAAUUAACUAGUAUUUGCCCCUUAGGGUGUUUUGUGCUUUCAUAUUAUCAAGAGUAAUAAGAAUGAUAAAAUAGCCGUGUUCAGCAUUGUAAUUGCAAACAGGUCUUGGUAAAAUUAUACAUAACUGGUCUUGGGGGACCAUCCUCGAAAAGAAGCAUGGCUGUGUAGGUGUGAAGAGUAAUACAGAGUAAUAGAUGAAUUCACAAUAGGAAGAAGUCUUCUUAUAGAGCAGACUCUAGAGUGUAACUGAGUCCCUAUUACCUUAGAAGCAUUGUGAUAAGAAUCUCCCAAAAGGCAUUAACCCUUUGGAAUGAGAUGGGGUAGGGUAGACAUCAUUGGGUGGCUAAAAUCACAUGUUGCCUGAAGUCAGUGGUUUACCACAUGUGAUCACAUC
This 1245-nucleotide long non-coding RNA is filed under the name Zalophus californianus (California sea lion). Its description in RNAcentral is "lncRNA (ENSZCAG00015009450.1)". Lineage: Eukaryota; Metazoa; Chordata; Mammalia; Carnivora; Otariidae. The record is from RNAcentral.